Long non-coding RNA from Gallus gallus (chicken), 462 nucleotides. NCBI's taxonomy places the organism in Eukaryota, Metazoa, Chordata, Aves, Galliformes, Phasianidae. The record is from Ensembl.
GUAAAGUGUAUUGAAUAUAUUGCUAUAUUGUCCUUAUGAAUGGUAAUGAUAUCAAAAGAACAUUUAAGGAACAGGAAGGAUAAAGGAAUAUGAAGUGUCCUAUAAUGAACAAAAUGACAGAAGUUGAAAGAAGUAGUGUCUGGGCCAAGGUAUAAGUGUAAGAAUGUGCCUAAAGGCUGACAGGGGGGGAGGUGAGAAGAAAUAGAUGUUACAGUAUACAUGGGCCUAUUAUGGAAUACAAAACCAGUACCAAGCAUAAAGAAAAAUGAAGAGCGCACCUGCAUCAGUGAAUAAGGAAGAGACAUCGAUGCCAUCUAUCUGGACUUCAGCAAGGCCUGUGACAUGGUCCCCCAUAACAUCCUUCUCUCCAAAUUGGAAGGAUGUGGAUUUGCUGGGUGGACUGUUCAACAGACAAGGAACUGGUUACAAGAACAUAUCCAGAAAGUGGUGGCUCAGUAUCUG